This 558-nucleotide ribosomal RNA is filed under the name Polymastia sp. WAMZ12384. RNAcentral's name for it is "eukaryotic LSU rRNA". It matches the Rfam family "Eukaryotic large subunit ribosomal RNA", at positions 419 to 906 of the family's 3401-position model. The record is from RNAcentral. Lineage: Eukaryota; Metazoa; Porifera; Demospongiae; Polymastiida; Polymastiidae.
ACGAAUGCGGCUGAAUUAGCUCUGUUUCAGGCUCAGGAGAUGUUGGUGGCUAUGCCGGGUUGUGGCAGCCUCGGCGCCUCGAUCCGGAUAUGCUGCCAUCUGCAUUCCUGUAGAGAGCUGGCCAACAGCAGUUGCUCCUGGCUCAAAAGGGGAACUUACAGCCGUCUGCGACUGAGGAGAGCAGUGCAUGCCCCCGCGCCUCUUCUGCUCGUUUCACCGGGCUGUUGGCAGUGUUCAGUGACGACUGUCUGCUCGUGCGGGAGGCUGGGGACGUUUUGCACUGUAGUUGUUGGUGCUCAAAUGGCUGCAUCCGACCCGUCUUGAAACACGGACCAAGGAGUGCAACAUGCGUGCGAGUCUUGGGGUGCCAAACCCGUCGGCGCAAUGAAAGUGAAGGCAAACCACAUCAUUGACCGAUCCCAGGCUACGCUGUAGCGGGAUUUGAGUAAGAGCGUGCCUGUUGCGACCCGAAAGAUGGUGAACUAUGCCUGAAUAGGGUGAAGCCAGAGGAAACUCUGGUGGAAGCUCGUAGCGAUUCUGACGUGCAAAUCGAUCGUC